This 176-nucleotide ribosomal RNA is filed under the name Acrapex jansei. Its description in RNAcentral is "partial 12S small subunit ribosomal RNA". The record is from RNAcentral. Lineage: Eukaryota; Metazoa; Arthropoda; Insecta; Lepidoptera; Noctuidae.
UAAAUUUUAAAAUUAUAAUACUAAAAUAGUAAAUAAUUAUUUAUUAAAACUUAAAUAAUUUGGCGGUAUUUUAGUUCAUUUAGAGGAAUCUGUUUAAUAAUUGAUAUUCCACGAAUAAAUUUACUUAAUUUUUAAUUUUGUAUAUCGUUGUUAUAAAAAUAUUUUUUAAUAAAAUU